Molecule: ribosomal RNA, 274 nt
Filed under: uncultured bacterium
Lineage: Bacteria
Description: partial 16S ribosomal RNA
Rfam family: Bacterial small subunit ribosomal RNA
Source: RNAcentral
AUACGUAGGAUCCGAGCGUUGUCCGGAUUUACUGGGCGUAAAGGGUGCGUAGGCGGCUUGUUAAGUCUCAUGUGAAAUCUCCCGGCUUAACUGGGAGGGGUCAUGGGAUACUGGCAGGCUUGAGGUCAGUAGAGGAGAGCGGAAUUCCCGGAGUAGCGGUGAUAUGCGUAGAUACCGGGAGGAACACCAGAGGCGAAGGCGGCUCUCUGGGCUGCACCUGACGCUGAUGCACGAAAGCGUGGGGAGCGAACCGGAUUAGAAACCCCGGUAGUCC